This 6022-nucleotide long non-coding RNA is filed under the name Brachypodium distachyon (stiff brome). RNAcentral describes it as "long non-coding RNA (BDIS_LNC003903)". Lineage: Eukaryota; Viridiplantae; Streptophyta; Magnoliopsida; Poales; Poaceae. The record is from RNAcentral.
AUGCUCAUACAACAGGUGGAAGAGCCCCCCUUAUAAGGUGGUGCAAACUCUCUUCAACUAGUAAUGUGGGACUAAACUUAUGUCCCACCUCUUGCCACACAUGAAUGUGUCAACAUGGGCCUUUUUGAUUUUUCCAGGAAUUUAUUGGACUAUAAAUUAAAUAGUGGGCUGGGCCACAAUUAUUCCGACAAUCCCCCACCAGAUCACAAAGGCACAUAAGAUUUGCCUAUGGUUCCAAAAACAUUGUUUAAUAUACCGGUGCUGCAGUGGAGACUGUUAAGUUGAACUUCCACCUAGGACUUUAUGUUACACUAGUUGCAACUUGAACAGUGGACGGUGCCUUGAACUGCAAGUUUUUCUGCGAACCUAGUUUCACACAAAGCCUUGACCGAUACUAGGCUACCGCAGGACUUCCCCGCGGGUGGAGCUUAUGCAUCAUACUCCGAGGCCUUCCAUGAGUUUAUUAGAGAGCACCCUAACUCUCACGGACUAAGACGUUUAACAGUCAAGCUCAUAUAGGUGUGUUCUUCAAAAGAUGUUCUGCAGGACAACAUCUCUGCUUGUAAAAGCCUCUUAGAACACAUUAAGAUAAAUAUCAACCUGCCAUGCAGAAUAGGAGAGUAUUGCAUCUUCACGGAGAGGUAAAUUUUUAAGGAUACUCUCCUCUCGGUUGACCAACAGCUUGUCUCCCACUUCUAAUUCACGGGAUCUCCGAUCACAUAGAGUGGUUUACCACCGUGGACAACUCAAAAUGUGGGUCUCGUACCCAUCUCCUUCGAUGCAUUAUCUAUCACACUGCCUGAUAGACCCUUUGUGAAGGGGUCUGCCAAAUUUUUAGAUGUAUGGAUAUAAUCCAACGUAAUAACUCUGGAGUUUCUCAUUUUUCUGACAGAUUUUAAUCUCUUCUUCACAUGCCUUGAGGACUUCAUAUUAUCCUUAGAACUGUUCACUUUGAUGAUAACAGUUUGAUUAUCACAGUUCAUAAGGAUAGUGGGUAUUGGUUUUUCAACCACAGGUAAGUCCAUCAAGAGCUGACGAAGCCACUCUGCUUCAACAGUGGCUGUGUCUAAUGCUGUGAGUUCCGCUUCCAUAGUUGACCUCGUUAAGAUGUUGUUUCUUGCAAGACUUCCAAGAAACAUUGCCACCACCAAGUGUAAACACAUAUCCACUUGUGGCCUUAAUCUCAUCAGCAUCAGAUAUCCAGUUUGAAUCACUAUAACCCUCAAGUACCCUUAGAUACCCAUUAUAGUGAAUGCCAUAGCUCGCAGUGCCUUUUAGAUAGUGUAAAACUCUUUAAAGAGCAUGCCAAUGAUCAUCGCCCGAAUUAGAGACAAAUCGACUAAGUUUGCUCACAGUGAAAGCGAUGUCAGGCCUCGUAGCGCUAGCUAAAUACAUAAGCGAGCCAAUAACUUGAGAGUAUCUCAGUUGAUCUCUAGCACUUCUUUGAUUUUUCCGAAGAAGCACGGUAGGAUCAUACGGGGUAGGAGAAGGCUUGCAGUCGCUAUAUCCAAAACGACUCAAAAUAUUCUCCACAUAGUGAGACUGAAGCAAAGUAAUCCCACCAUGGUCAUCUCUCAACAGCUUGAUGUUCAAAAUAACAUCAGCUACUCCAAGAUCCUUCAUCUCAAAACAUCGAGAUAAGAAAUCCUUGACCUCCUUGAUCAUAAUGAGGUUGGUUCCAAAUAUCAGUAUGUCAUCAACAUACAAACAAAGAAUAACUCUCUCGCCCCCACCAUGGCGAUAGUUCACACACUUAUCGGCUUCGUUCACAACAAAGCCCGCGGCAGUUAAGGUUCUUCCAAACUUCUCGUGCCACUGCUUAGGGGCUUGCUUAAGACCAUAUAAAGAUUUCACCAACUUGCACAGCUUUCCUUCUUGGUCUACUACAAAACCAUCUGGCUACUCCAUAUAAAUUUUCUCAUCUCACUCUCCAUUUAGGAAAGCUGUCUUAACGUCCAUUUGAUGAACGAGAAGACCAUGUGAGGCAGCCAAUGAUAGUACUACUCGAAUGGUGGUCAAUCUGGCCACUUGUGAGUAAGUACCAAAGAAAUCUUUACCUUCCUUUUGGGUGUAACCCUUGGCCACAAGCCGUGCCUUAUAUUUCUCAAUUGUACCAUCAGGUCUAAGCUUCUUCUUGAACACCCAUUUACAUCCGACAGGUUUGCACCCAUAAGGACGAUCAGUUAUCUCCCAAGUUCCAUUAGCCAAGAUAGAGUCCAUCUCACUACGGACAGCUCCUUCCAGUAGUCGCCAUCUGGAGAAGCAUAUGCUUCCAAAAUGGAACUAGGAGUAUCAUCCACGAGGUACACGAUCAGGUCCAAGCUGAGCGAGGUCGUCCGCCAAUUCUCUACUCCGGCCGACGCUGCACCAGAUCAUAUUUAGCGCUCUGCAAAAAUAUGUAGUUCGCUGCUGUGUGCUCAGCUUGUAACCGCCCCCCCUCCCCCCGUCCUGCUGUUCUCUUUUUCAUACUUCUUCACUAUCUUGUUGUUGAACAUGUUUGUUACAGACCUGGUUUCAUAAAUCUAAGGAGCCGCAAGGCCUCCUGUUGAUCUUUAAAAAAAUCAUCACCAAAAGACUUUGCAGUCCUCUGUCUCUUACUCCUCUUAGGAGCUUCAAUGUCAUCCUCCUCAAUAUUUCCAGAGUGUUUGAUCGGAAUUGUAGGUUCGGGAAUUGAAACAAAUUGCGGACUAGAUGAACUCGACAUCUCCUGAAUUGAUGAGCUAGGCUUAUCCUUCAUAGGAAAGAUAUUCUCAAAGAAAGUCACAUCAUUUGAUUCCAUAAUUGUACCCACAUUCAUGUCAGCUACCUCAGAUUUUACAAGAGGAAUCUAUAACCGAUGUUAUGAAAAGCAUAUCCUAGAAAAACACAAUCAACGGUUUUGGGUCCAAGUUUGCGCUUCUUGGGGAUUGGCAGAUUGAUUUUCGCCAAACAACCCCAAAUUCGUAAGUAAGAGAGUUUUAACCUUUUUAUUCUCCCAUUCUUCAAAUGGAGAUCUCUUUGUUCUUUCUGAGAACUCAGUUUAGGACAUGACACGCGAUCAAUAUCGCUUCCCCCCACCAUGCCUGAGAGAUGUUAGCAUAAUCUUGAGUUUGAGUCUAGCUAGGCGCAUGUGUGUGUGUCCUAAUGGGAUUAGGAUUAGAGUCCUAGUCCUAGUUUUGUUAGCUGAGUGUGUAUUCGUGUAGGAUACUAGUCCGUGUGUGGUUAGAUGUUGCGCUUGUACGUGUGUAUAUAUACACAUGUACACCCAUAGCUUGUAACCAAGCCGUGAGAUAUUGAGGAGAAAUAAAAAUAGAGGGCACGAUACGGGCCUUUGGCCAAAUAAAUUUCUGAUCGUGUGCGUCUUCAUGUGAUUGAUCUUUGGGCAAACCCAACGUUUGGUAUCAGAGCGAGGUCCAAGAUUUGAAGACGCGCUUGCCCCGGGGAGGCGAUGUGCUAGCGCCUCGGGGCGGGCAACGGAGUGGAGCAGCUUUCUGUGGAUUGGGUCGAGUUGUCAUCACACGGUGGGCCGAUCUCCUAGUGACGGGGGAUCAUAGUACUGAUAGCCGGGUCGACUUCCUCUUGAAGUUGGUAGACUGUGAGGGCUUGUACUCCCAUCAAACUUUGGUUUGUCAUCAAACCUGUCUUGUUCUUGGGUUUGUGGGAUUGGGAGUUAUUCUUCUGUACGAAGUUGGCACUAGAACCUCCUUCAGUACCUCGAGCACGUGUGUCUUUUGCUCUCGCCUUCUUUUCCACAUCAAGAGUCCCAAUGAGAUCCGUCACGGAAAACUCUUGUCUCUUGUGUUUGAGAGAAGUAGCAAAAUGCCUCCAUGAUGGAGGAAGCUUGGCAAUGAUGCCUCCACCAACAAACUUGUAUGGUAACACACAAGUGAAGUGCUCAAGCUCCUUGGCAAGUGACUGUAUUUCGUGAGCCUACUCCACGAUGGGGCGGUCCUCAACCAUCUUAUGGUCAUAGAAUUGCUCCAUGACAUACAGUUCACUGCCAGCGUUGGAGACUCCACAUUUUCUCUCGAGCGCAUCCCACAUGUCCUUGCCAUUGUUAAAUGACAGGUAUGAAUCAACAAUAUUGUCGCCAAGAAUGCUGAUCAAAGCAGCCUUGAAAGUGGUAUCAAGCUUUUGAAAAGCCUCCUCCUCAGCAGGAGUAUGGUCUCCCUCAGGAAGGCCAUAGAUGGCGCUAUAGCAGCUCAUGGUCUGAAACCAGAGCACUGCCCUCGCACGCCACCUCUUAUAAUUGACACCUUCAAACACAGGUGGCUUCAUGGAAGCAGCAAAACCACUUGGGGUAAAUUGCCUAAAAUAAGGUUUUUGGAUUGAUGGAAAUAUGAGCAAUUUACCACAAGAUUUAAUAGAUAAAAACAGUAAAUAAAACAUGUGGAAUAUUGCAACCAUGAAUAAUUCGCUACAAGAAUUAAUCAACAUAAAUAGUGGGUAAAACAUGACUAGAUCAAACACAGUAGUCAUGCAAGCAUAUGAACAAAACACAUCUAAGGCAAGAACUAAACAAACGAAUUGCAGCAUGGUCUCAAGUAUGGGAAACAGUGACACGUACGGUGCAGAGGCGGAACCGCUCGUGUUUCCGUUGCCAGUCAUGUUGAUGCCGAGGAUGUCGUCGACCUCCGGAAAGAAGUCGUCGUCGGGGAAGGAGUCGUCGGAGUCCAGUGCGUUCGCGGUGAAGAGGAAGGAGCCUGUAGUCGCGCGUAGCACUCCCCAAAAACCUUAUAGCCCUUCUCCCGUACAGGACUCGAAGAGGCGGGGUUCCGGAGGCCUACUGUCCCGACUUGCGGUGCACGCCGCAAGACGGGAUGGGGAAGAACGGAGGCAGCGCAAUGCUCUGAAACGAGAGGAGGCAGACGGGAUGGGGAAGAACGGAGGCAGCGCAAUGCUCUGGAACGAGAGGAGGCAGGUGCUCUUUCUGUGUUCUUUUGAGAGAGGAGCGACCUCUCUUAUUUAGGCACAACAGGCAGACGAACAAUAAAAACCCACUAACAAUUUGUUUCUAGAGAAGCUCUCGGCUCGAGGCAUUCCUGCAACCCGUGGCGCGUGUCGUGACGAGGCGAGGCGGGCGGCGGAGGAGCGCGUAGAAGCUCUCUUCUUCUCAUGCUCAUACAACAGGUGGAAGAGCCCCCCUUAUAAGGUGGUGCAAACUCUCUUCAACUAGCAAUGUGGGACUAAAAUUAUGUUCCACCUCUUGCCACACAUGAAUGGGUCAACAUUGGCCUUUGGGAUUUUUCCAGGAAUUUAUUAAACUAUAAAUUAAAUAGUGGGCUGGGCCACAUAAAUUCCAACAAAAUUACGAAGCUAGUAAGGCCAUGAACAGGAUUUUUAUAGUUCAAACAGCCGCUCCUGCUGCCAUGGGUGGAGGAUGGAAUUAUCUUACGUGGGACGAACUAAAGCAUGAAACACCUCCCGGCAUUCGACAGUGCUGCGAAAUUUAUAUUCAAAAAUUUGAAGGAACCUGCCAUGAAGAACAUGCACAUGCACUGCCCAAACGAUUUUUGACCUGCAUGAACUGAAAUUUUUCAUCUGGUCCAGCCGUCAUGCUUUCGACCUCGACGAUGAUCUUGGGGAGAAUAGUGGCCGAUUCCACGAAUCGAAGGCAGACAAUCAGGCAGCGUGGACAUUUUCAUUCAAAAAGUACUUUGUAUGAUUCCGCCUCUCCGGUCUCCUACUCUCCUUUGGUCCUUCCUCUCCCAGUCUCCCUCGGUGGCUGCUUCCUAGUCCCUACUUCCCUAGGCACCGAGAGACCAGAUGCGGCGAGGCUGGUUCGACGAGGGCACGAGGCAACUUUUUUUUUUUUUAGAAUAAGCACGAGGCAACUAACAUCGAUCGAUCUGGAUCCAGUAGACCAGUCUCUCGUCCCGAGCGGCCCAUGCGGUGCAUGCAGCGAUUCGUAGGCCCAAUAGACACACCGACGGCCUAACUACGGCCUCAACUCCCCCAAAUCGCGCUUUCUUUCUCUUUUCUUUCUUCAUCAACUAGUACUAGUUUUAUCCCUAAAAGAAACUACUAGUACUGUACUAGUUUU